RNAcentral lists this ribosomal RNA (253 nucleotides) under uncultured bacterium. RNAcentral's name for it is "partial 16S ribosomal RNA". It matches the Rfam family "Bacterial small subunit ribosomal RNA", at positions 524 to 776 of the family's 1533-position model. The record is from RNAcentral.
GACAGAGGGUGCUAGCGUUGUUCGGAAUUACUGGGCGUAAAGGGCGCGUAGGCGGCUCGUUUAGUCGGGUGUGAAAUCCCAAGGCUCAACCUUGGAACUGCAUUCGAUACUGGCGGGCUAGAGACCGGAAGAGGUGGGUGGAAUACCCAGUGUAGAGGUGAAAUUCGUAGAUAUUGGGUGGAACACCGGUGGCGAAGGCGGCUCACUGGUCCGGUUCUGACGCUGAGGCGCGAAAGCCAGGGGAGCAAACGGG